RNAcentral lists this unclassified non-coding RNA (250 nucleotides) under Geastrum kuharii. RNAcentral describes it as "partial internal transcribed spacer region". The stretch from base 1 to 46 matches the Rfam family "Eukaryotic small subunit ribosomal RNA", at positions 1786 to 1831 of the family's 1831-position model. Lineage: Eukaryota; Fungi; Basidiomycota; Agaricomycetes; Geastrales; Geastraceae. The record is from RNAcentral.
AAGUCGUAACAAGGUUUCCGUAGGUGAACCUGCGGAAGGAUCAUUACUGAAGAUAAAAGGGUCUUGAGACUGCGUUUAUCUUAACGUGUGCUCGACUCUUAACUCUUUCAUCUACACACACCUUUGUGCACCAUGGGAGGGCCGUCAGUGUUCUCCCCUUUUUCAUAUAAACACAAAGUUAUAUGCAUGUCUUAUUACUCUACGGAGUUAUAAAAUGUAACAACUUUCAACAACGGAUCUCUUGGCUCUC